AUGAACGCUAGCGACAGGCCUAACACAUGCAAGUCGAGGGGCAGCACAAGGAGCAAUCUGAGGUGGCGACCGGCGCACGGGUGAGUAACACGUAUGCAACCUGCCUGUAAGCGGGGAAUAACCCGUUGAAAGACGGACUAAUACCGCAUAAUACUAAAUUACUGCAUGGUAAUUAUUUAAACAUUUAUGGCUUACAGAUGGGCAUGCGCAUGAUUAGCUAGUUGGAGAGGUAACGGCUCCCCAAGGCAACGAUCAUUAGGGGUUCUGAGAGGAAGGUCCCCACACUGGUACUGAGACGCGGACCAGACUCCUACGGGAGGCAGCAGUGAGGAAUAUUGGUCAAUGGACGAGAGUCUGAACCAGCCAAGUCGCGUGCAGGAAGAAUGUCCUAAUGGAUUGUAAACUGCUUUUGCAGGGGAAUAAAGUGCAUCACGUGUGAUGUUUUGUAUGUACUCUGCGAAUAAGGAUCGGCUAACUCCGUGCCAGCAGCGGC
RNAcentral lists this ribosomal RNA (493 nucleotides) under uncultured bacterium. Its description in RNAcentral is "bacterial SSU rRNA". It matches the Rfam family "Bacterial small subunit ribosomal RNA", at positions 29 to 518 of the family's 1533-position model. The record is from RNAcentral.